UCCUGGUCGGACAUCAGGAGGUUAGUGCAAUGGCAUAAGCCAGCUUGACUGCGAGCGUGACGGCGCGAGCAGGUGCGAAAGCAGGUCAUAGUGAUCCGGUGGUUCUGAAUGGAAGGGCCAUCGCUCAACGGAUAAAAGGUACUCCGGGGAUAACAGGCUGAUACCGCCCAAGAGUUCAUAUCGACGGCGGUGUUUGGCACCUCGAUGUCGGCUCAUCACAUCCUGGGGCUGAAGUAGGUCCCAAGGGUAUGGCUGUUCGCCAUUUAAAGUGGUACGCGAGCUGGGUUUAGAACGUCGUGAGACAGUUCGGUCCCUAUCUGCCGUGGGCGCUGGAGAACUGAGGGGGGCUGCUCCUAGUACGAGAGGACCGGAGUGGACGCAUCACUGGUGUUCGGGUUGUCAUGCCAAUGGCACUGCCCGGUAGCUAAAUGCGGAAGAGAUAAGUGCUGAAAGCAUCUAAGCACGAAACUUGCC
Molecule: ribosomal RNA, 474 nt
Filed under: Escherichia coli
Lineage: Bacteria; Pseudomonadati; Pseudomonadota; Gammaproteobacteria; Enterobacterales; Enterobacteriaceae
Description: partial 23S ribosomal RNA
Rfam family: Bacterial large subunit ribosomal RNA
Source: RNAcentral